GUGAAAUGCAUGGGAGGAGAAAAUGUAGACUGCAACAAAAUAUAUAUAGGUACAACGAAAAGAACACUGGGAAUCCGUUUAGCAGAACACGAAGCGGACAUAAGAAAGGAAAAGAAAAACACAGCACUCGCACAACAUAUGUUAGAAAACAGUCACACAGCUGAUCUUGCAAACGCCAGAAUAAUAGAUGUAGAAAAGAGAGAGAGGACAAGAUACACACUAGAGAGCCUUCGCAUAUUAGAGAAUAGAAAAAGAACGAUGAAUACAAAAGAAGACACAGAUGAUACUGCGGCUACUUAUUUAUUAUGUUUGUGACAAGAAAAUCAGUAUGACAAGUGUACCAAACGAUAAUGGUACAAUGCUCUAGCUUUUAAGUGUUUAUGUUUUAGUGUUUAUAUGUUUAUGUGUUUAUAUGUUAACAAAUAUACGUAUAUGAAAAUUGGCCCCUGAGGAUGCUAAGGAGUUUAGCGAAACGUAGGGCAAAGCAGUGAAGAAAAAACGUUGUUUUUACUUGCACUAAUCACCAACUAGGCCAAAGAAGCUCAUCAAAAUUAAUAAAA
This 560-nucleotide long non-coding RNA is filed under the name Rhagoletis pomonella (apple maggot). RNAcentral describes it as "uncharacterized LOC118755958". The record is from RNAcentral. Lineage: Eukaryota; Metazoa; Arthropoda; Insecta; Diptera; Tephritidae.